UACGUAGGGUGCAAGCGUUGUCCGGAAUUAUUGGGCGUAAAGAGCUCGUAGGCGGUCUGUCGCGUCGGAUGUGAAAAUCCAGGGCUCAACCCUGGACCUGCAUUCGAUACGGGCAGACUAGAGUUCGGCAGGGGAGACUGGAAUUCCUGGUGUAGCGGUGAAAUGCGCAGAUAUCAGGAGGAACACCUGAGGUGAAGACGGGUUGCUGGACCAACACUGACGCUGAUGCGCGAAAGCCAGGGGAGCAAACGGG
Molecule: ribosomal RNA, 253 nt
Filed under: uncultured bacterium
Lineage: Bacteria
Description: partial 16S ribosomal RNA
Rfam family: Bacterial small subunit ribosomal RNA
Source: RNAcentral